Molecule: ribosomal RNA, 697 nt
Filed under: uncultured Enterococcus sp.
Lineage: Bacteria; Bacillati; Bacillota; Bacilli; Lactobacillales; Enterococcaceae
Description: bacterial SSU rRNA
Rfam family: Bacterial small subunit ribosomal RNA
Source: RNAcentral
AAGUCGAACGCUUCUUUCCUCCCAAGUGCUUGCACUCAAUUGGAAAGAGGAGUGGCGGACGGGUGAGUAACACGUGGGUAACCUACCCAUCAGAGGGGGAUAACACUUGGAAACAGGUGCUAAUACCGCAUAACAGUUUAUGCCGCAUGGCAUAAGAGUGAAAGGCGCUUUCGGGUGUCGCUGAUGGAUGGACCCGCGGUGCAUUAGCUAGUUGGUGAGGUAACGGCUCACCAAGGCCACGAUGCAUAGCCGACCUGAGAGGGUGAUCGGCCACACUGGGACUGAGACACGGCCCAGACUCCUACGGGAGGCAGCAGUAGGGAAUCUUCGGCAAUGGACGAAAGUCUGACCGAGCAACGCCGCGUGAGUGAAGAAGGUUUUCGGAUCGUAAAACUCUGUUGUUAGAGAAGAACAAGGACGUUAGUAACUGAACGUCCCCUGACGGUAUCUAACCAGAAAGCCACGGCUAACUACGUGCCAGCAGCCGCGGUAAUACGUAGGUGGCAAGCGUUGUCCGGAUUUAUUGGGCGUAAAGCGAGCGCAGGCGGUUUCUUAAGUCUGAUGUGAAAGCCCCCGGCUCAACCGGGGAGGGUCAUUGGAAACUGGGAGACUUGAGUGCAGAAGAGGAGAGUGGAAUUCCAUGUGUAGCGGUGAAAUGCGUAGAUAUAUGGAGGAACACCAGUGGCGAAGGCGGCUC